RNAcentral lists this ribosomal RNA (321 nucleotides) under Chironomus plumosus. RNAcentral's name for it is "eukaryotic LSU rRNA". It matches the Rfam family "Eukaryotic large subunit ribosomal RNA", at positions 1 to 287 of the family's 3401-position model. The record is from RNAcentral. Lineage: Eukaryota; Metazoa; Arthropoda; Insecta; Diptera; Chironomidae.
GAUUUCGCGACCUCAACUCAUGUGUAACUACCCCCUGAAUUUAAGCAUAUUAAUUAGGGGAGGAAAAGAAACCAACAGGGAUUCCCUUAGUAGUGGCGAACGAAACGGGAUCAGCCCAUCACGUAGGAUCAUAGGCUUAAUUGUCUAUUGAUCGUUUCCGUGUAAAGGAGGGUCCAUUAUCUUGCACAUAUAAACAUCAUAUUUAAGUCCAGCUUGAAUGCGGCUCAAUAUACCCACAGAGGGUGCCAGGCCCGUAUAUGUAUGAUGCUUGUGUAAGUGGGCUAUCAACUCCUAGGAGUCAUGUUGCUUGAUAGUGCAGCA